Molecule: long non-coding RNA, 884 nt
Filed under: Oreochromis niloticus (Nile tilapia)
Lineage: Eukaryota; Metazoa; Chordata; Actinopteri; Cichliformes; Cichlidae
Description: lncRNA (ENSONIG00000025090.2)
Source: RNAcentral
GUCCAGUGAAUUUUUUGACUCGACACGAGGCAGAUCUUAGCUAAAAAUGACAAAGCCAAAAACCAAACCAUGCCCUUCCUGUCAGGCUCCAAACACCUGCAACAGGAAGACAUGCAGUGGAUGCCUGGGCAGCCUGAACGUAAAGGAGGGAUUAAAAAAAACAAGAACAGUUUAAAAACAGUAACUGGGCUGCCUCUGUUUAAAAAAAAAACAGAAAUGCGAGCAGGGUGGUUAAUUCAGCCCAGUUGUCAGUUUCAAAACUACAUGCCCUGGCCUACCAGCCAAUUCUGUUUCUUGGACAGUUUGACCGAAAGGGCCGUAUAGUAGGGGAUGUGAUCACUCAGAUCGAACCAGCGGAAGGUGCUGCACGUGACAUCCUCAUGAAGAUGAGGAAACUUUAUGAACACCUUCUGAGAAAAUUACAAGCUUCACCUCCUGCUGAAAGUUCUAUACCAGCAGCUGGACCAUCCUCUGCUGACAGUGUCGAUGCUGGACCAGUCCCAGACCCAGAGGCUCUAAACGAGGAAUUUAUUCUGCAUUUAGAGCCUGUACCAACAUCUUCCCUCUGUCAGCCUCCUGCAUCCUCCUCUCCAUCUCUGCUUCCUCCUGCACCCUCCUCUUCAUCUCUGCUUCCUCCUGCAUCCUCCUCUCUGUCUUUGCUUCCUCCUGCAUCCUCCUCUCCAUCUCUGCUUCGUCCUGCAUCCUCCUCUCUGUCUUUGCUUCCUCCUGCAUCCUCCUCUCCAUCUCUGCUUCCUCCUGCAUGCUCCUCUUCGUCUGUGCUUCCUCCUGCAUCCUCCUCUCAAUCUCCGCUUCCUGCAUCUCCCUCAAUUUCUACGGCGUACACCUCGGAUGUCCCAAACAAAAAAAGGACAAGGAAAGGUUAG